UAGUCCACGCCGUAAACGAUGGAUACUAGCUGUCCGGAUGCAAAUCUGGGCGGCCAAGCGAAAGUGAUAAGUAUCCCACCUGGGGAGUACGUCCGCAAGGAUGAAACUCAAAGGAAUUGACGGGGGCCCGCACAAGCGGUGGAGCGUGUGGUUUAAUUCGAUGAUACGCGAGGAACCUUACCAGGGCUUAAAUGCAGUUGGACAGGGGUGGAAACACCCCCUUCUUCGGACUGAUUGCAAGGUGCUGCAUGGUUGUCGUCAGCUCGUGCCGUGAGGUGUCAGGUUAAGUCCUAUAACGAGCGCAACCCCUGUGGUUAGUUGCCAGCGAGUAAUGUCGGGAACUCUAGCCAGACUGCCGGUGCAAACCGUGAGGAAGGUGGGGAUGACGUCAAAUCAUCACGGCCCUUACGUCCUGGGCUACACACGUGCUACAAUGGUAGGUACAGAGAGCAGCCACUGCGCGAGCAGGANCGAAUCUAUAAAACCUAUCUCAGUUCGGAUCGG
Molecule: ribosomal RNA, 504 nt
Filed under: uncultured bacterium
Lineage: Bacteria
Description: bacterial SSU rRNA
Rfam family: Bacterial small subunit ribosomal RNA
Source: RNAcentral